GCCCGGCUGCGACCUGCGGCCGCCGAGGUACCCCGGCCCUGCUUCCGCUCAGCCGGCAGGGAGCGGCCCGGGGAGGGGGCGGAAAGAAGUCACUCCCCUUCUAAAAGGUGGUGGUGUCCCCCUCCGGCUUUCGUGAGCUCCUCAGUGCCCACACCUGAACCCGGCUUACUGAUCCCUGCCCUUGCUUCUCCUUGACUUGGUUUGAAUUGGAGGGGCAAUACAAGCGUUUUAAUUGAAAUAAGCAGCUCAGGAGUAUUUUAUUGGCGCUCCAGAGCACUGUGUGUCUGUCCCGUCCCCUCCGCCCCCAGCAAUAAACGCAGAGUGGGUGAGUGAAAGGAAGGUGCAGUCCACAUUUCAGGAUUUUUCCUGGACCCUUCCUCCAGUCUGCUGUCCAUCCUGUCAUCGCCUAUGAAACUGUAUGCUAAAGUCUGUCAUUUCUUGUGCAUGAAAAAUGAGCUGGGCAGUACAGCCUGUGAAGAGGAUUUGGCACUUGGAAGAAACCCAACACAUAGCAUGAGAAAGUGGCUUCCUACUUAUAAGGACCCUAUCACAGGCAAUGGCAGUGCUACCAUCCCAGUAAUACAGACUUGGAUAUCUGUGCCUAACACCAUUAACCAUCAUCUGAAUCAGGCUGUUGGGGCACCUAUCUUCCCAUGAGCAUGGCUGAACCAUUACAUCAUCUGGGAUUUUGUGACCUUGCAAAGUGGAUGUUCUACUUGCAUGAGGAAGGUCCCAUUAAAUCCAAACCAAGAUAGCAUAUGUUUAAAAGAUAAGUGUUUGAGAACUAAUGCUUUUAUCUUACUAAGCUGUGCUCUGAGAUUAAUGUUUAACAUCUUAUAGUUCUAUGAUGCAUGUUUGAUUAUGACUCAAUAAUGACAUUUGAACUAUCCAUACGGUGCAAACUUGAAGUCCACUGUAAAAGAGAAAUAAAAUACAAUGAAAAUAGAAACAAACAAAUAAAAAGUUACUCUAAGUGUCUUAGAGGUUCCCUUUUCAUAUUGUAAUGUGCAGUAGUACAGAGAACAGCAUGGCAAGAAGACCAGUGGGUAUUUUGGUUAGUUCCUGGUACAACUAAGGAAACCACAAAACCACAUCAAUCUCUAGUUGACUCAACCAGUUACAACAUAAAACAUUUCUGAUUUUGUUUCUAGAACUGCAAACCACAGGAAUAAAGAAGGUUUAGCUUAUUUUCAGCAAUCAACUUAGAUUGCUUUCAGAACCUCAUUGACAUUUAAAGUAAAUGUCUCAGUGCUGUUCUUGGGUGUGACAUGAAGCAAGCCACGCAAGCACUGGUACCGUGUGUGCCUCAGGAGCUGUGAAAAUUUAAUUCUGACUAUUUUUUAAAAUUACUUCUGAUUCCUGCAAGAAUCAACAUAUCUCCUUGCCAUAUUUUAUGUCAUGCUACAUAGGGAAAAGAUGGUUAUCAGUGCAUUUAAAUAAUCAAGUUUUAUUUUCCUGUAUCAACUGCUUCACAAAAUAGACAGUGAGUAAUACAAAUUGGGGGAAAAGAUUGUUCUCUGUUCUCAGUAGUUGUUAAGUGACUAUGUAUAGCAGGGCUGAUGACUACUGAUCUGGAGAUAAUGUUGUUUUCUUUGCUUAAAAGGUGUACCAUUACCUUAUGCCUAUGCUUCUUACCCAGUGGCAUGCAGCAGAUACAGCCAAGCAUGCAUCAAUCCCACUGGUUUGGAAUGCUGCUGAGUUAAGGAACCAGUAUCUCAGCCCAUCAUCUGACAGGUUAAAUUCUGUGGUUAUGUCCAGCCAAGCCUCUGAAUGACAGUGCUGACUGCAGAGGGCAUCCUGAGAGUUUUCAUAGCAGUGUCCAAAAAGCCAUCCAAAAGUCAAAGCAGCUAUGCAAGAUUCUCUAGGAUCCCUAGAGCAGGGUGGAUAGGCUCCAUUUCUCCCAAUCACUGGAGGACUGUGCACUGAAAGUAAGGCUGACCCAUUUAGAAAGUUUGCCCCUCCCCAGUAUUGAUGAUAUUGAUGAUAUAGACAACCCCUCCAUGUUCAGCUAUACUGGAUAUGCAAGCUGCCUAACAGCUGCAGCACAAUCAGAAAUCCAGGAACAUGGGAACAUAGGAAAUGUUUUCUGCAUCUAAAAAAGUCUGAACCUUGAAGCAUAAUUAAAUCUUUCUGUAAAUGAAAGGUCAAACAACGACAUUUUUCUUCGAUGCAGAUCACAGACAAAUAGCUUUUAGUUGUAAGUAUAGCAGUACUUUAAAUCAAUCACUGCAAUAUUUAAACUGAAAAUAACAUAGAAACACCUCUGUGUUUGACAUCUGUAACCAAAUGAACGCCUGGUUAUUCUUCUUGCCACAAAUUCCAUCAGUUCUUCUUUUCUCUUUCAUCUGGCUAGAAAAGAAAAGUUAUGUAGAAGUUAACUCAUUGUAUAAAAACAGUGGUCUGAUGACCCAAUACAUGUCAGGAACUGAAUUUCUUCGCCAUUUACAAAUCUUUUAGUAAUAUAAUGACGACAUCAAAUAUAUGUGCCAGAUAACUAUAUUACAACCAGUAUUGUUUGUGGAUUCAUGAUCUGGUAAAGAGGAAUAUGAGGAAAGUCACCAUAAUUUAGGGUAGCCAAAUCCAGGAAGACAUCAAAGAAUAUCAGAAAUAUUUAUUAAUAGAGGAUUACUAAUUCUGAAAUAUCUAGGGCCUUCAAUUUUUCCUAUGGGUCAAUAGGUAAGUGAUAGAGCACAAAAAAAUCAGUUCUUAGGUUUGUGUGUUUACUUAGUAAGGGACUGUCUGAAAUGGUGCCAAUCUGAAGGAUGUCUAUGACCUGUUUAAAAAUGUAGUCUGGGAUAGUCCUCCAUUUGGGCAUGAUUCCUAGGGAAACAGACCUCAUGUGGCAGACCUGCUACUCUAUCACACUCACCUCUUAAACUGUUUCAUCUUCAUUACUCAUCUAUGAGAAAUAUUUCUCAAAGUCUUGUAUUAAUCAUCUCUAGAGCAAAUAACUCAAUUUAUUCAUUGUUCA
Non-coding RNA from Cyanistes caeruleus (blue tit), 2971 nucleotides. NCBI's taxonomy places the organism in Eukaryota, Metazoa, Chordata, Aves, Passeriformes, Paridae. The record is from RefSeq and is a predicted model, not a curated record.